CAGUAGCCGCGGUAAUACAGAGGGUGCGAGCGUUAAUCGGAUUUACUGGGCGUAAAGCGUGCGUAGGCGGCUUCUUAAGUCGGAUGUGAAAUCCCUGAGCUUAACUUAGGAAUUGCAUUCGAUACUGGGAAGCUAGAGUAUGGGAGAAGAUGGUAGAAUUCCAGGUGUAGCGGUGAAAUGCGUAGAGAUCUGGAGGAAUACCGAUGGCGAAGGCAGCCAUCUGGCCUAAUACUGACGCUGAGGUACGAAAGCAUGGGGAGCAAACAGGAUUAGAUACCCGGGUAGUCCCUGUCUCUUAUAC
RNAcentral lists this ribosomal RNA (301 nucleotides) under uncultured bacterium. RNAcentral's name for it is "partial 16S ribosomal RNA". It matches the Rfam family "Bacterial small subunit ribosomal RNA", at positions 509 to 807 of the family's 1533-position model. The record is from RNAcentral.